GGGGGUGUAGCUCAGUUGGGAGAGCACCUGCCUUGCACGCAGGAAGUCAUCGGUUCGAGUCCGUUCACCUCCACCA
Molecule: transfer RNA, 76 nt
Filed under: Desulfobacter sp.
Lineage: Bacteria; Pseudomonadati; Thermodesulfobacteriota; Desulfobacteria; Desulfobacterales; Desulfobacteraceae
Also listed under: 1 other name
Description: tRNA-Ala
Rfam family: tRNA
About the family: Transfer RNA (tRNA) molecules are approximately 80 nucleotides in length.
Source: RNAcentral